GUCUAUUACGAAGAUGUUUAUAGUCUAGCCUGCUCACUGACAAAUUACGUUAAAUAGCCGCGGUAUCUUGACCGUGCAAAGGUAGCAUAAUCAUUAGUUUUUUAAUUGAAAACUUGUAUGAAUGGUUGGACAAGGAAGAAUCUGUCUCUUUUGCUAAAAUUGAAUUUAACUUCUAAGUGAAAAGGCUUAGAUAAUUUAGAGGGACGACAAGACCCUAUAAAGCUUAAUAAACUUAAAGAUUCUAUAUAUUUUUACAUAAAGAUAAUUUCUCGAACGUUUAUUUGGUUGGGGCGACAAAAGUAUAAUAUAAGUAACUGCUAAUAACAUUUUACAAAUAUUUUUGAUUUAGAUAAUAAUUGAUCCCUUUUAAGGAUUUAAAGAUCAAGUUACUUUAGGGAUAACAGCGUAAUUUUUUCUGAGAGUUCUUAUCAAAGAAAAAGUUUGCGACCUCGAUGUUGAAUUAAAAUGUCUUUAUAGUGCAGCAGCUAUAAAAGAAGGUCUGUUCGACCUUUAAUAUUUU
Molecule: ribosomal RNA, 520 nt
Filed under: Euphylax robustus
Lineage: Eukaryota; Metazoa; Arthropoda; Malacostraca; Decapoda; Portunidae
Description: partial 16S ribosomal RNA
Rfam family: Bacterial large subunit ribosomal RNA
Source: RNAcentral